Molecule: ribosomal RNA, 500 nt
Filed under: uncultured bacterium
Lineage: Bacteria
Description: partial 16S ribosomal RNA
Rfam family: Bacterial small subunit ribosomal RNA
Source: RNAcentral
AUUGAACGCUGGCGGAAUGCUUUACACAUGCAAGUCGAACGGCAGCACGGACUUCGGUCUGGUGGCGAGUGGCGAACGGGUGAGUAACAUAUCGGAACGUAUCCAAUAAUGGGGGAUAACUAAUCGAAAGGUUGGCUAAUACCGCAUACGCCCUACGGGGGAAAGCAGGGGAUCUUCGGACCUUGCGUUAGUGGAGCGGCCGAUAUCUGGUUAGCUAGUUGGUGAGGUAAAGGCUCACCAAGGCGACGAUCAGUAGCUGGUCUGAGAGGACGACCAGCCACACUGGAACUGAGACACGGUCCAGACUCCUACGGGAGGCAGCAGUGGGGAAUUUUGGACAAUGGGCGCAAGCCUGAUCCAGCCAUUCCGCGUGAGUGAAGAAGGCCUUCGGGUUGUAAAGCUCUUUCGCAAGGGAAGAAAACUUACUUUCUAAUAAAGAGUGAGGUUGACGGUACCUUGAUAAGAAGCACCGGCUAACUACGUGCCAGCAGCCGCCGUAA